AUUGCUUUCUAUUGUGAAUGUAUUAUACAGUAUAUUUUAAAAUUUGAUUCUUUAUAGUGAUUACAAUUGGUUCACAUUAGAUUUCAUUGUUACAUAGACAAAUAAUAGAUUAACAUUUGAAUUCAUUGUUACUUUUGGAUUCAGCGUUCAAACCAUUGGUUUACAAUAGAAUGUAUCAGCUACAUUGAAAUGUACCGUUUUUCAAUGGUCUGAACGUUUAAAAAAACCCUGCUUUUAAGUAAUUUCGAAACAGUGUGUAUCAAUGACAGCCAAGUUUUUUUGUUAUCAGUUUGGUCGUCGGCGGUAAAAUUGUUCGAAGUGCAGGUUCGUCUGCGGAAAAUGUGGAAAAUUCACGCUCAACUGCGUGAAUUUUCCGCACGGGAGUUGAUAUAGGUGAAUCCAAAUGGUCCCCCAUUGUAGAGGCGCUGAGUGAGAUAAGGAGAAAAUCGUUUGUUUACAUAAAAAGGUCAAUUUUUGUCGUCAAAUUUUACUCAUUUUUUGCUCUAGAAGUUGCUGUUUUCCAUUUGCAAUGGCUUCCAUUAUCAUCAUUCUUGAUGCCCACUAGAGAUGGUCGGGUUUCGGGUUUUCAAACCCGAAACCCGACCCGAACCCGAACCCGACGGGUACGGGUCGGGUUCGGGCUUGGAAAUUUGAAAAAAGCUCGGGUACGGGUCGGGUCCGGGUUUAAACAAUUUCAAAAUUCUCGGGUACGGGUCGGGUCGGGUUUGAAUAAUGUCGGGUUCAAGUCGGGUUUGGUACCAAUGUAGAUAAAUCAGUAUUCAGAAAAAUGUUUUAUUUGUUGUAUCCGAUACAUUUAAUGAUUAUUAUUUAACUCGGGUUUCGGUCGGGUUUAUUGGCAAUUUUUUUUCGGGUUCGGGUCGGGUUCGGGUUUGAUCGACGAAAAUUUUUCGGGUUCGGGUCGGGUCCGGUUUGACGGAACAAAAAAUUCUCGGGUACGGGUCGGGUCCGGGUUUUGAAAUUGAAAAUUGUUCGGGUACGGGUCGGGUUCGGGUCUGAAACCCGACCAUCUCUAAUGCCCACGCCGACAGACACCGGAUUGGCCAGCUAACAAAAAAUCCGGAAGAUCGCCCGCCGGAGGCAUAGCAAGAGCUCCUCAAAUUAAUCACACAAAUUGUUUGUAAGUACCUACCGGAUCUAAGCGCAACUGAAAAAGAAUUUAAUUUUCUUUCCAAAAAGUGCUCGUUUGUUUCUCUACGAUGCGGAAUUCAAUAUGAAAAAGUGAAAAAAGUGCACUUUGCCUAUGCUGCGCCAUGUGAAAUUUUGGUGGAGCCCCGUUUUUCAUAGGGUUCUCAUUCCUGCCACCAGAUGCGGAGGGAUCGUUAGCUUCCGUUGGAUUUACCUAUAGUGUGCGGUGCAGUGUUAAAGCAUACAACAGUAGCAGCAUUUCAACAGCAGUCGCAAGGACAUGAAGCCUGUGCAGGAGCAGUUAGCUCACAGCUUGUUCGAUCGCCUUGCGGUCGAGGGAAUGCGCACGAUUAGGACUGAUCGCUGCAUGGACGAGAACUAGGAGCGCUGAGAAGAGAACGGGGAUGCGGAAUGCUGGAUCAAGCAACUUUGUGGUUUUAUUUUGAAAGCACCGAUCGAUUCAGUAGUUUCCGAGUCUAUUAGGGUCAGACAGACAGUCAUACAGUAGUAACUUAUUUGUAUAUAUUAAGAUAGAUAGAUGGAUACCAGGAUAGAUAGAUAAUUCAAUUUUACCAUUCUAA
Aedes albopictus (Asian tiger mosquito) is the source of this 1727-nucleotide long non-coding RNA. RefSeq lists it as uncharacterized. The transcript is spliced from 2 exons. The record is from RefSeq and is a predicted model, not a curated record. NCBI's taxonomy places the organism in Eukaryota, Metazoa, Arthropoda, Insecta, Diptera, Culicidae.